Molecule: ribosomal RNA, 373 nt
Filed under: uncultured bacterium
Lineage: Bacteria
Description: bacterial SSU rRNA
Rfam family: Bacterial small subunit ribosomal RNA
Source: RNAcentral
ACGUAGGUGGCAAGCGUUGUCCGGAUUUACUGGGCGUAAAGGCUGCGUAGGUGGAUAUUUAAGUCAGAUGUGAAAUACCCGAGCUUAACUUGGGUGCUGCAUUUGAAACUGGAUAUCUAGAGUGCAGGAGAGGUAAGUGGAAUUCCUAGUGUAGCGGUGAAAUGCGUAGAGAUUAGGAAGAACACCAGUGGCGAAGGCGACUUACUGGACUGUAACUGACACUGAGGCAUGAAAGCGUGGGGAGCAAACAGGAUUAGAUACCCUGGUAGUCCACGCCGUAAACGAUGAGUACUAGGUGUAGGGGGUAUCGACUCCCUCUGUGCCGCAGUUAACACAAUAAGUACUCCGCCUGGGAAGUACGGUCGCAAGAUUA